GACGUAGGGGACGAGCGUUGUCCGGAUUCAUUGGGCGUAAAGCGCGCGUAGGCGGCCACGCAAGUCGGGUGUGAAAUCCCGGAGCUCAACUCCGGAACUGCACUCGAAACUGCGCGGCUUGAGGUAGGUAGGGGAGAUCGGAAUUCCUGGUGUAGCGGUGGAAUGCGCAGAUAUCAGGAGGAACACCGGUGGCGAAGGCGGAUCUCUGGGCCUUACCUGACGCUGAGACGCGAAAGCGUGGGGAGCGAACAGG
Molecule: ribosomal RNA, 253 nt
Filed under: uncultured bacterium
Lineage: Bacteria
Description: partial 16S ribosomal RNA
Rfam family: Bacterial small subunit ribosomal RNA
Source: RNAcentral